RNAcentral lists this ribosomal RNA (429 nucleotides) under Bacteroidota bacterium. RNAcentral's name for it is "Bacteroidetes bacterium partial 16S ribosomal RNA". It matches the Rfam family "Bacterial small subunit ribosomal RNA", at positions 355 to 776 of the family's 1533-position model. Lineage: Bacteria; Pseudomonadati; Bacteroidota. The record is from RNAcentral.
UAGGGAAUCUUCCGCAAUGGACGCAAGUCUGACGGAGCAACGCCGCGUGAGUGAAGAAGGAUUUCGGUUCGUAAAACUCUGUUGUUAGAGAAGAACAGCGCAUAGAGUAACUGCUAUGCGUGUGACGGUAUCUAACCAGAAAGCCACGGCUAACUACGUGCCAGCAGCCGCGGUAAUACGUAGGUGGCAAGCGUUGUCCGGAUUUAUUGGGCGUAAAGCGAGCGCAGGCGGUCAAUUAAGUCUGAUGUGAAAGCCCCCGGCUCAACCGGGGAGGGUCAUUGGAAACUGGUUGACUUGAGUGCAGGAGGGGGGAGGGGAAUUCCAUGUGUAGCGGUGAAAUGCGUAGAUAUAUGGAGGAACACCAGUGGCGAAGGCGACUCUCUGGUCUGUAACUGACGCUGGGGCUCGAAAGCGUGGGUAGCAAACAGG